This 506-nucleotide ribosomal RNA is filed under the name uncultured bacterium. Its description in RNAcentral is "partial 16S ribosomal RNA". It matches the Rfam family "Bacterial small subunit ribosomal RNA", at positions 29 to 523 of the family's 1533-position model. The record is from RNAcentral.
AUUGAACGCUGGCGGCAGGCCUAACACAUGCAAGUCGGACGGUAGCACAGAGGAGCUUGCUCCUCGGGUGACGAGUGGCGGACGGGUGAGUAAUGUCUGGGGAUCUGCCCGAUAGGGGGGGAUAACCACUGGAAACGGUGGCUAAUACCGCAUAACGACGCAAGACCAAAGAGGGGGACCUUCGGGCCUCUCACUAUCGGAUGAACCCAGAUGGGAUUAGCUAGUAGGCGGGGUAAUGGCCCACCUAGGCGACGAUCCCUAGCUGGUCUGAGAGGAUGACCAGCCACACUGGAACUGAGACACGGUCCAGACUCCUACGGGAGGCAGCAGUGGGGAAUAUUGCACAAUGGGCGCAAGCCUGAUGCAGCCAUGCCGCGUGUAUGAAGAAGGCCUUCGGGUUGUAAAGUACUUUCAGCGGGGAGGAAGGCGGUGAGGUUAAUAACCUUGCCGAUUGACGUUACCCGCAGAAGAAGCACCGGCUAACUCCGUGCCAGCCGCCGCGGUAA